UACGUAGGUCCCGAGCGCUGUCCGGAUUUAUUGGGCGUAAAGCGAGCGCAGGUGGUUUAUUAAGUCUGGUGUAAAAGGCAGUGGCUCAACCAUUGUAUGCAUUGGAAACUGGUAGCCUUGAGUGCAGGAGAGGAGAGUGGAAUUCCAUGUGUAGCGGUGAAAUGCGUAGAUAUAUGGAGGAACACCGGUGGCGAAAGCGGCUCUCUGGCCUGUAACUGACACUGAGGCUCGAAAGCGUGGGGAGCAAACAGG
This 252-nucleotide ribosomal RNA is filed under the name uncultured bacterium. Its description in RNAcentral is "partial 16S ribosomal RNA". It matches the Rfam family "Bacterial small subunit ribosomal RNA", at positions 524 to 776 of the family's 1533-position model. The record is from RNAcentral.